CCUACGGGAGGCAGCAGUGAGGAAUAUUGGUCAAUGGGCGGAAGCCUGAACCAGCCAAGUAGCGUGCAGGAUGACGGCUCUACGGGUUGUAAACUGCUUUUAUACGGGAAUAACGCGCCUUACGUGUAGGGCUUUGCAUGUACCGUAUGAACAAGCACCGGCUAAUUCCGUGCCCGCAGCCGCGGUAAUACGGCAGGUCCGGGCGUUGUCCGGAUUUAUUGGGUUUAAAGGGAGCGUAGGCCGCAUGUCAAGCGUCCUGUGAAAUGUCCGGGCUCAACCCGGGCCUUGCAGCGCGAACUGGCGGGCUUGAGUCCGCGGAAGGCAGGCGGAAUUCGUGGUGUAGCGGUGAAAUGCUGAGAUAUGACGAAGAACCCCGAUUGCGAAGGCAGCUUGCUGCAGCGGAACUGACGCUGAGGCGCGAAAGCGCGGGUAUCGAACAGGAUUAGAUACCCCUGUAGUC
RNAcentral lists this ribosomal RNA (460 nucleotides) under uncultured bacterium. Its description in RNAcentral is "partial 16S ribosomal RNA". It matches the Rfam family "Bacterial small subunit ribosomal RNA", at positions 338 to 795 of the family's 1533-position model. The record is from RNAcentral.